UAAUAUUAUAACUUGUUACCUUUUUAGAACUUAAUUUAUUAUAUUAUCCUUUUAUAGGAAAGAGAAAAAUAUGACAAAAAAAGGCAAAAAAUUAUUUUUGAUUUGCAACAAGAAAAGAACGAAAACAUAAAAAAACUGUUAGCAGGAUAUAAUGAAAAAAUUUUAAAUAUACAAAAUUAUUUUAGACUAAUCUUAGAUGAUCAAUUAGGAAUUAUUCACGCACUAGAGGAUGACAACCUUAUAAAAACUAAAAUAUUUUUUUCAAAAAAAAAGUACUUAGAAGAAUUAAAAAAAAGCAUAUUCACAGAUGGAAAAAAAUUAGAUAAUUUAGACAGAGAUGUGACGUUACUAAAAAAAGAUGUUACAUAUUAUGAAAAACUAAAAACUGAUUUAAAAAAAAUAAAAAAUAAAAGAAAAAAACAACAAAGCAUAUUAACAGAGUUAAAAUUAGAAACCGAUGUAAAAAAAAUGCUAUUUAUAAAAUUAUGUAAACAAUAUGAAGACAUCUAUAAUAAAAAUAAGAUGGAGUUGUAUAAUAAUAUACAACAAAUGUUAUUAGAAAAUCAUAUUUUAGAAACAAGAAUAAAGAUCCAAAAUAAAAAGUUUGAAAUAAAUAACUUAGAGCUGGAAAAGUGGAAAGAAUCACUUGAUAUAAAUCAAAACGAAGUCCUAAAUAAUUUUUUACAAAAUAAGUUUCAAAAUUUUGAAGUAUUAAAAAAAGAAGUUGAAGAUUUAAUAGUAAUAUAUAUAAAAAUAAUAUUAAUUUGUGUGUAAAUUAUAGUUAUAUAUAUAUAUAUAUAUAUAUAAAUGUGUCAAACGUAUUAUCUUAUUAUAUUUUUUAUGAUUUUUUUUUAUAAUACAGGAUGUACAACAAAAAAACAAAGAAAAUUAUGAAGCUAUACUACAUCUUAAUUAUGUGCCAAAUGAAGAUCUGGACAUUUUGAAAAGAGAAGAAAAUGUAUAUUAAAACAAAAUGGGGAAUCAAAAUAAAAAAGAAUAAACAAAGGAACA
This 1011-nucleotide long non-coding RNA is filed under the name Piliocolobus tephrosceles (Ugandan red Colobus). RNAcentral's name for it is "lncRNA (ENSPTEG00000006185.1)". The record is from RNAcentral. Lineage: Eukaryota; Metazoa; Chordata; Mammalia; Primates; Cercopithecidae.